UCCCGGCCCCUGCCCCAGGCCGGAGGGCAGAGGAAGUGCCCGGCCCCUCCCGAGGCUCUGGGGCCGCAGUGGGCUCGGGGGUGGGAGACGAGGUCCAAGCGCCGGCGAGACCCCUGCCAGCCCGGGACCUGGGCUCGGAGGCUCCCUUCCGGAUUUCCAAAAUCUGCGGAGGCAGCAUUUGUUCCGCCUCUCCCCUCUAGAGUGUGGAGACAGGAGGACGUCUGUGUAGGGAAGCACGUCGUUGGCAGACUGCUGUUUUGCCGAUGUUUAUUUGUUAUGCCAUUAUGACUGUUAGGAUUUCUCACCUGGAGUGGCUUCCGCCAUAAGCGCCGGGAUCUGGAAGGACGGCACGUUUGACUUCUGUUGUCCCAACCUCACUUGCCAGCCCUUGGCACCGCCCCAGCUUGGAUCCUCAGGGCGCCUCUGUUAUUUUCAUUCAUUUUUUUUGAGGACUCCAGGGUUCAGGUUUCUUAACUCCUGGACCAAAGUUCGCCCCGCUCGUAGCACCCUGUCUCUCAUCCUUAGAGAUUCUGAAGUUUGGACUUGAGCUUUUGGGGCAGAGACUGAAUUGGGCCUUAUGCAACUCUUGCAAUACCGAUGACCUGCAAAGGACAGUAUGGAAGAGAUGAGCAUUAGAGUUUGGAUCCGGAUGGGGCCAGAAAUACCCUGAAUUAAGAGUGGGAAGGGGGGGCCCAUCAAAAUCAUUGAUCUUAAAAAUAAGUAAGGCCUGUGGGGUGAAAUUUGAAAUAAAGCAGAAAGAUAAGCUUCUUUGAUUAUUAUAUAACUUAAAAAAGUGUUUAUCAGCUUUGAAUACCCCCAAGAUGGUCACAGCAUUAA
This 837-nucleotide long non-coding RNA is filed under the name Homo sapiens (human). RNAcentral's name for it is "HSALNT0376913". The record is from RNAcentral. Lineage: Eukaryota; Metazoa; Chordata; Mammalia; Primates; Hominidae.